GUGUGUAUAGAUCAGUAGGACCGCAGUAUCCAUUAGAAAUUGAUCAUGUAUAUAUUUUUAUUUCUCCACUUGAGGAGUGUGGGAGAUUCAAAAAAAUAGUGGAAGUCUUGUUUAAUUUUAAAAUUUUCUAAAAUAAAUAUUUAAUAAGUAUAAAUACCUAAUUAGAAACUAUUCUUUCUAUAGAUAAUCAUGUCAAGUUUAAAUUCUUGAGCCCAUAUUCUUAAC
Molecule: long non-coding RNA, 225 nt
Filed under: Elaeis guineensis (African oil palm)
Lineage: Eukaryota; Viridiplantae; Streptophyta; Magnoliopsida; Arecales; Arecaceae
Description: long non-coding RNA (EGUI_LNC068683)
Source: RNAcentral